GGAGAGGUGGCCGAGUCUGGUUGAAGGCGCUUCCCUGCUAAGGAAGUAACGGAGUAACCCUCCGUUCGAGGGUUCGAAUCCCUCUCUCUCCGCCA
This 95-nucleotide transfer RNA is filed under the name Acidimicrobiales bacterium. RNAcentral describes it as "tRNA-Ser". It matches the Rfam family "tRNA". Rfam says of the family: Transfer RNA (tRNA) molecules are approximately 80 nucleotides in length. Lineage: Bacteria; Bacillati; Actinomycetota; Acidimicrobiia; Acidimicrobiales. The record is from RNAcentral.